UACGGAGGGUGCAAGCAUUAAUCGGAUUUAUUGGGCGUAAAGGGCGCGUAGGCGGGCCUGUAAGUCAGAUGUGAAAUCCCGAAGCUCAACUUCGGAAUAGCAUUUGAAACUGCAAGUCUAGAGGGUAGGCGGAGAAAAUAGAAUUCCACAAGUAGCGGUGAAAUGCGUAGAUAUGUGGAAGAAUACCAGUGGCGAAGGCGAUUUUCUAGCUUAUACCUGACGCUGAGGCGCGAAAGCAAGGGGAUCAAACAGG
RNAcentral lists this ribosomal RNA (253 nucleotides) under uncultured Neochlamydia sp. RNAcentral describes it as "partial 16S ribosomal RNA". It matches the Rfam family "Bacterial small subunit ribosomal RNA", at positions 524 to 776 of the family's 1533-position model. Lineage: Bacteria; Pseudomonadati; Chlamydiota; Chlamydiia; Parachlamydiales; Parachlamydiaceae. The record is from RNAcentral.